Molecule: ribosomal RNA, 205 nt
Filed under: uncultured bacterium
Lineage: Bacteria
Description: partial 16S ribosomal RNA
Rfam family: Bacterial small subunit ribosomal RNA
Source: RNAcentral
CGUGUAGGCGGCUAUGCAAGUCGGAUGUGAAAGCCCUCGGCUCAACCGGGGAAGUGCACCCGAAACUGCAAAGCUAGAGUCUCGGAGAGGAUCGUGGAAUUCUCGGUGUAGAGGUGAAAUUCGUAGAUAUCGAGAGGAACACCGGUGGCGAAGGCGGCGAUCUGGACGAUGACUGACGCUGAGCGCGAAAGCGUGGGAGCAAACA